RNAcentral lists this ribosomal RNA (353 nucleotides) under uncultured Methanosaeta sp. RNAcentral describes it as "bacterial SSU rRNA". It matches the Rfam family "Archaeal small subunit ribosomal RNA", at positions 988 to 1340 of the family's 1478-position model. Lineage: Archaea; Methanobacteriati; Methanobacteriota; Methanomicrobia; Methanotrichales; Methanotrichaceae. The record is from RNAcentral.
UGGUGCAUGGCCGUCGUCAGUUCGUACUGUGAAGCAUCCUGUUAAGUCAGGCAACGAGCGAGACCCACGCCCACAGUUGCCAGCGUACUCUCCGGAGUGACGGGUACACUGUGGGGACCGCCGCUGCUAAAGCGGAGGAAGGAAUGGGCAACGGUAGGUCAGUAUGCCCCGAAUAUCCCGGGCUACACGCGAGCUACAAUGGUUGGUACAAUGGGUAUCUACCCCGAAAGGGGAUGGAAAUCUCCUAAAGCCAAUCUUAGUUCGGAUUGAGGGCUGCAACUCGCCCUCAUGAAGCUGGAAUCCGUAGUAAUCGCGUUUCAACAGAACGCGGUGAAUACGUCCCUGCUCCUUGC